AGACUCGACGCCUUCCGCGUCUUCAAACUCCAUGGCCGCCAAGUCGUUCGCGCCCUUGACAACCUUGUGAACCCAGCGCGCGUUGGCCAGCUCUGCGAGGUGGUUGUGAAACGACGUGUCCGCGUAGAGCGGGAAAGAAGGCGACGUCAAGCUCGUGUACUUGAGAUCGCCGUCGACGUAGAACUCAAUCGCGCCCGCGUCGUUCACGAUCACUUGGAAAGUCUCACCCGCGACGAAGACGCCGGCAUCGAACUUGUUCACGCCCUUCUCUUGGAAUCGGACCUGAUUGCCGUUGCAGAACACGGCGUAGUCGAUGGUCGUUUGGCUGUGGCCCGAGGGCGUGCUCGACAAGCCAAACUGCAAGUGCCUGUUGUCGGUGCGCAUGCAGUCGCCGGAAAUGCCGCGAAUCUCGUCGCCGACUUUCGUGAUGGCGCGCGCGCUGUACGCGCCUCUUGCCCAGUUGUUCCCGCCUUGAGUACGUUUGAGGUAGCCCUGUUUGCCGUCCGUCGUCAUGCCCUGCGAAAGUCCGACCCACUCGAUGAGAUCCAAGUCGUUCGCACCCUCGUGGACAGUCUGUAUCCAGGAGACUCGAGAGAAAGACGCGCCUGCAGUGUUGAAGCGCGCGGUGGCGUAGAGCGGGAAGGCAGGCGCCUCAUCAGACGUCGCAAACGCCGCGCCAUCCUUGUAGUACGUGACGACGCCCGAGUCGAGCACGACCACUUGGAACGUCUCACCGACGAAGUAAUCGCCAAAGUCGCCGUCGCGCACGACGCCGUGUUCGGAGAUGCGGAUCACGCCGUUGUCGCACACAAUGCCGAAGUCGACCACCUCGUCGACGGAGUUCGUCGAGCCAGAGUUCAAGCCAAUCAUCAUGGACUUGUCCGUUUGGUCGCAAUCCGCGGAGACGCCACGCACUUCGUCGCCGAUCUUCGUGAUGGCACGUUUGCUCGUGGCGCCGACGUUCCAGCCACUGCCUGCCAUUGUGCGCGUCACUUGGCCCGCGGAAGACUCGACGCCUUCCGCGUCUUCAAACUCCAUGGCCGCCAAGUCGUUCGCGCCCUUGACAACCUUGUGAACCCAGCGCGCGUUGGCCAGCUCUGCGAGGUGGUUGUGAAACGACGUGUCCGCGUAGAGCGGGAAAGAAGGCGACGUCAAGCUCGUGUACUUGAGAUCGCCGUCGACGUAGAACUCAAUCGCGCCCGCG
Molecule: long non-coding RNA, 1204 nt
Filed under: Ostreococcus sp. 'lucimarinus'
Lineage: Eukaryota; Viridiplantae; Chlorophyta; Mamiellophyceae; Mamiellales; Bathycoccaceae
Description: long non-coding RNA (OLUC_LNC000043)
Source: RNAcentral